This 119-nucleotide ribosomal RNA is filed under the name Blautia sp. An81. Its description in RNAcentral is "partial 23S ribosomal RNA". It matches the Rfam family "Bacterial large subunit ribosomal RNA", at positions 2806 to 2925 of the family's 2925-position model. The record is from RNAcentral. Lineage: Bacteria; Bacillati; Bacillota; Clostridia; Lachnospirales; Lachnospiraceae.
GAGAUGUCCCAUCCGAAAGGAGUAAGACCCCUUGAAGACGACGAGGUAGAUAGGGCAGAGGUGGAAGUGCAGCAAUGCAUGGAGCUGACUGCUACUAAUCGGUCGAGGGCUUGACCUAA